Molecule: ribosomal RNA, 381 nt
Filed under: uncultured fungus
Lineage: Eukaryota; Fungi
Description: SSU rRNA
Rfam family: Eukaryotic small subunit ribosomal RNA
Source: RNAcentral
CGUGCGGUUCUAUUUUGUUGGUUUCUAGGACCGCCGUAAUGAUUAAUAGGGACAGUCGGGGGCAUCAGUAUUCAAUUGUCAGAGGUGAAAUUCUUGGAUUUAUUGAAGACUAACUACUGCGAAAGCAUUUGCCAAGGAUGUUUUCAUUAAUCAGGAACGAAAGUUAGGGGAUCGAAGACGAUCAGAUACCGUCGUAGUCUUAACCAUAAACUAUGCCGACUAGGGAUCGGACGAUGUUAUUUUUUGACUCGUUCGGCACCUUACGAGAAAUCAAAGUGUUUGGGCUCCAGGGGGAAUAUGGUCGCAAGGCUGAAACUUUAAGAAAUUGACGGAAGGGCACCACCAGGGGUGGAGCCUGCGGCUUAAUUUGACUCAACACGG